AAAACUAUAGUUUAUUAAAAACUUAUGAUUUGCACUCAUAAAAUAUUCUUUUGAAUUAGUUUUG
This 64-nucleotide transfer RNA is filed under the name Neopetrolisthes maculatus (porcelain anemone crab). Its description in RNAcentral is "tRNA-Ala". Lineage: Eukaryota; Metazoa; Arthropoda; Malacostraca; Decapoda; Porcellanidae. The record is from RNAcentral.